This 498-nucleotide ribosomal RNA is filed under the name uncultured bacterium. Its description in RNAcentral is "partial 16S ribosomal RNA". It matches the Rfam family "Bacterial small subunit ribosomal RNA", at positions 30 to 523 of the family's 1533-position model. The record is from RNAcentral.
AUUGAACGCUGGCGGCAUGCCUUACACAUGCAAGUCGAACGGUAACAGGUCUUCGGAUGCUGACGAGUGGCGAACGGGUGAGUAAUACAUCGGAACGUGCCUAGUAGUGGGGGAUAACUACUCGAAAGAGUGGCUAAUACCGCAUGAGAUCUACGGAUGAAAGCAGGGGAUCGCAAGACCUUGUGCUACUAGAGCGGCCGAUGGCAGAUUAGGUAGUUGGUGGGAUAAAAGCUUACCAAGCCGACGAUCUGUAGCUGGUCUGAGAGGACGCUCCGCCACACUGGGACUGAGACCCGGCACAGACUCCUACGGGAGGCAGCAGUGGGGAAUUUUGGAAAAUGGGCGAAAGCCUGAUCCAGCAAUGCCGCGUGCAGGAUGAAGGCCUUCGGGUUGUAAACUGCUUUUGUACGGAACGAAAAGCCCCGGGUUAAUACCCUGGGGUCAUGACGGUACCGUAAGAAUAAGCACCGGCUAACUACGUGCCAGCAGCCGCCGUAA